Molecule: ribosomal RNA, 468 nt
Filed under: uncultured bacterium
Lineage: Bacteria
Description: partial 16S ribosomal RNA
Rfam family: Bacterial small subunit ribosomal RNA
Source: RNAcentral
GACGAACGCUGGCGGCGUGCUUAACACAUGCAAGUCGAACGGAAAGGCCCUGCUUUUGUGGGGUGCUCGAGUGGCGAACGGGUGAGUAACACGUGAGUAAACUGCCCUUGACUUUGGGAUAACUUCAGGAGACUGGGGCUCAUACCGGAUAGGAGCUCCUGCUGCAUGGUGGGGGUUGGAAAGUUUCGGCGGUUGGGGAUGGACUCGCGGCUUAUCCGCUUGUUGGUGGGGUAGUGGCUUACCAAGGCUUUGACGGGUAGCCGGCCUGAGAGGGUGACCGGCCACAAUGGGACUGAGAUACGGCGCAGACUCCUACGGGCGGCAGCAGUGGGGAAUAUUGCACAAUGGGCGGAAGCCUGAUGCAGCAACGCCGCGUGCGGGAUGACGGCCUUCGGGGUGUAAACCGCUUUCGCCUGUGACGAAGCGUGAGUGACGGUAAUGGGUAAAGAAGCACCGGCUAACUACGUG